UAAUACUGCUUGUCUACCAAACUUGUCAUCCCAUUGAUCACCCCAGGUUGAUUCAACUGAUCUGACUGGUUGGGCAGGUGUGUCUUUCUUCCCUCUCCACUUUAUGCAUGUUCCUUCUGAAGCUGUGUGUUUGGUUGAGAAGACAGCAUUGCCUGGUAGAGUUGGACCAUUUUUCUAUCAUUAAUACAUGAGUAGCUGCACUCCCCUCCUAGAACCUACUAAAAACUCCCAAGAAAAAGAGUUGAGACAAAAAGGGUUUAGCUUUUGCUAGAAGGUAUGACUCUUGUAUGUAAAGAUGUGUGCAU
This is a non-coding RNA of Mus musculus (house mouse), 305 nucleotides long. NCBI's taxonomy places the organism in Eukaryota, Metazoa, Chordata, Mammalia, Rodentia, Muridae. The record is from Rfam.